RNAcentral lists this ribosomal RNA (201 nucleotides) under uncultured bacterium. RNAcentral describes it as "partial 16S ribosomal RNA". It matches the Rfam family "Bacterial small subunit ribosomal RNA", at positions 527 to 727 of the family's 1533-position model. The record is from RNAcentral.
GUAGGGGGCGAGCGUUGUCCGGAUUUAUUGGGCGUAAAGAGCUCGUAGGCGUUCAACAAGUCGGUCGUGAAAGUUCAGGGCUUAACCCUGAAAUGUCGAUCGAUACUGUUGUGACUAGGAUAUGGUAGAGGUGAGUGGAAUUCCGAGUGUAGCNNUGAAAUNCGUAGAUAUUCNNAGGAACACCAAUAGCGAAGGCAGCUC